GCCGAAGUGGUGGAAUGGCAUACACGCUGGUCUCAAAAACCAGUGUCCUCACGGACGUGUGGGUUCGACUCCCACCUUCGGCA
Molecule: transfer RNA, 83 nt
Filed under: Candidatus Omnitrophota bacterium
Lineage: Bacteria; Pseudomonadati; Candidatus Omnitrophota
Description: Candidatus Omnitrophica bacterium tRNA-Leu
Rfam family: tRNA
About the family: Transfer RNA (tRNA) molecules are approximately 80 nucleotides in length. Their secondary structure includes four short double-helical elements and three loops (D, anti-codon, and T loops).
Source: RNAcentral